AAGGGCUGGGAAGGGCGGAG
Molecule: microRNA, 20 nt
Filed under: Apis mellifera (honey bee)
Lineage: Eukaryota; Metazoa; Arthropoda; Insecta; Hymenoptera; Apidae
Description: ame-miR-9887-5p
Source: miRBase by way of RNAcentral